UAAGCGGAGGAAAAGAAGCCAACAGGGAUUGCCCUAGUAACGGCGAGUGAAGCGGCAACAGCUCAAAUUUGAAAUCUGGCUUCGGCCCGAGUUGUAAUUUGCAGAGGAUGCUUUUGGUGCGGUGCCUUCCGAGUUCCCUGGAACGGGACGCCACAGAGGGUGAGAGCCCCGUAUGGUCGGACACCAAUCCUGUGUAAAGCUCCUUCGACGAGUCGAGUAGUUUGGGAAUGCUGCUCUAAAUGGGAGGUAAAUCUCUUCUAAAGCUAAAUACCGGCCAGAGACCGAUAGCGCACAAGUAGAGUGAUCGAAAGAUGAAAAGCACCUUGAAAAGGGGGUUAAACAGUACGUGAAAUUGUUGAAAGGGAAGCACUUGUGACCAGACUUGGGCCGGGCGGCUCAUCAGGGGUUCUCCCCUGUGCACUCCGCCCGGUACAGGCCAGCAUCGGUUCUUGCCGGGGGAUAAGAACGGAAGGAACGUGGCCCCCCUUCGGGGGGGUGUUAUAGCCUGCCGUACGAUACCCUGGCGGGGACCGAGGUUCGCGCUUCCGCAAGGAUGCUGGCGUAAUGGUUACUAGUGACCCGUCUUGAAACACGGACCAAGGAGUCGUCCAUUAGAGCGAGCGUUUGGGUGUCAAACCCGCACGCGUAAUGAAAGUGAAAUUAGGUGAGAGCUUCGGCGCAUCAUCGACCGAUCCUGAUGUUCUCGGAAGGAUUUGAGUAAGAGUUUUAACGGACGGACCCGAAAGACAGUGAACUAUGCUUGUAUAGGGUGAAGCCAGAGGAAACUCUGGUGGAGGCUCGCAGCGGUUCUGACGUGCAAAUCGAUCGUCAAAUAUGAGCAUGGGGGCGAAAGACUAAUCGAACUGUCUAGUA
Molecule: ribosomal RNA, 873 nt
Filed under: Involutiscutellula rubra
Lineage: Eukaryota; Fungi; Ascomycota; Sordariomycetes; Diaporthales; Tubakiaceae
Description: eukaryotic LSU rRNA
Rfam family: Eukaryotic large subunit ribosomal RNA
Source: RNAcentral